CUUUUAUGUAAAAACUGACGUUGAAAGACGAAGGCUUAGGACACCAACAGGAUUAGAUACCCCAGCAGUCUAAGCAGACAAUGAUGAAUGUCAUAGAUUAGAAUUAUAGUUUUGUCUAUAAAUGAAAGUGUAAGCAUUCCACCUCAAGAGUAAUGUGGCAACGCAGGAACUGAAAUCAUUAGACCGUUUCUGAAACCAGUAGUGAAGUAUGUUGUUUAAUUUGUCAAUCCGCAAAACACCUUACCACAAUUUGAAUAGUUUUUACAAGCGUUGCACGGCUGUUUUCAGUUAAUGUCGUGAGAUUUUGGUUAGCUCCAUAAAAUUAACGUAAACCCUUACUUUAUUUUAAAGUAGUUCUCCAUUAUAUUGGGUAUGAUAAAAGGGAAUAAGACAAGCCCAUAUGGCCUUAAUAUUGUGGGUUAUAGACGUGCCACAUNAGCCUCUACAAAGG
This 451-nucleotide ribosomal RNA is filed under the name Trapeliopsis granulosa. RNAcentral describes it as "SSU rRNA". It matches the Rfam family "Bacterial small subunit ribosomal RNA", at positions 726 to 1245 of the family's 1533-position model. Lineage: Eukaryota; Fungi; Ascomycota; Lecanoromycetes; Trapeliales; Trapeliaceae. The record is from RNAcentral.